This 558-nucleotide ribosomal RNA is filed under the name Xenorhabdus stockiae. RNAcentral's name for it is "bacterial SSU rRNA". It matches the Rfam family "Bacterial small subunit ribosomal RNA", at positions 31 to 580 of the family's 1533-position model. Lineage: Bacteria; Pseudomonadati; Pseudomonadota; Gammaproteobacteria; Enterobacterales; Morganellaceae. The record is from RNAcentral.
AAGUGGGGGGGGGCCUUACACAUGCAAGUCGAGGCGGUAACAGGAAGCAGCUUGCUGCUUUGCUGACGAGCGGCGGACGGGUGAGUAAUGUCUGGGGAUCUGCCCGAUGGAGGGGGAUAACCACUGGAAACGGUGGCUAAUACCGCAUAACCUCUGAGGAGCAAAGUGGGGGACCUUCGGGCCUCACGCCAUCGGAUGAACCCAGAUGGGAUUAGCUAGUAGGUGGGGUAACGGCUCACCUAGGCGACGAUCCCUAGCUGGUCUGAGAGGAUGACCAGCCACACUGGGACUGAGACACGGCCCAGACUCCUACGGGAGGCAGCAGUGGGGAAUAUUGCACAAUGGGCGCAAGCCUGAUGCAGCCAUGCCGCGUGUAUGAAGAAGGCCUUCGGGUUGUAAAGUACUUUCAGCGGGGAGGAAAGCGUGAACUCGAAUUCACUUCACGAUUGACCUACCCCGCAGAAGAACCUCCGGCAAAGUCCGUGCCGGCACCCGCGGUUCUAUGGAGGGUUCUAGCGAUAUUAGGAAUUACUGGGCUUCAACCCCAUGCAGGCGAUU